RNAcentral lists this ribosomal RNA (795 nucleotides) under Ruegeria sp. Rg133. RNAcentral describes it as "bacterial SSU rRNA". It matches the Rfam family "Bacterial small subunit ribosomal RNA", at positions 60 to 902 of the family's 1533-position model. The record is from RNAcentral. Lineage: Bacteria; Pseudomonadati; Pseudomonadota; Alphaproteobacteria; Rhodobacterales; Roseobacteraceae.
AGUCGAGCGCUCUCUUCGGAGGGAGCGGCGGACGGGUUAGUAACGCGUGGGAACAUACCCUUUGGUACGGAAUAGCCUCUGGAAACGGAGAGUAAUACCGUAUGAGCCCUUCGGGGGAAAGAUUUAUCGCCAAAGGAUUGGCCCGCGUUAGAUUAGGUAGUUGGUGGGGUAACGGCCUACCAAGCCUACGAUCUAUAGCUGGUUUUAGAGGAUGAUCAGCAACACUGGGACUGAGACACGGCCCAGACUCCUACGGGAGGCAGCAGUGGGGAAUCUUGGACAAUGGGGGCAACCCUGAUCCAGCCAUGCCGCGUGAGUGAUGAAGGCCUUAGGGUCGUAAAGCUCUUUCGCCUGUGAAGAUAAUGACGGUAGCAGGUAAAGAAACCCCGGCUAACUCCGUGCCAGCAGCCGCGGUAAUACGGAGGGGGUUAGCGUUGUUCGGAAUUACUGGGCGUAAAGCGCACGUAGGCGGACUGGAAAGUUGGGGGUGAAAUCCCAGGGCUCAACCCUGGAACUGCCUCCAAAACUAUCAGUCUAGAGUUCGAGAGAGGUGAGUGGAAUUCCGAGUGUAGAGGUGAAAUUCGUAGAUAUUCGGAGGAACACCAGUGGCGAAGGCGGCUCACUGGCUCGAUACUGACGCUGAGGUGCGAAAGUGUGGGGAGCAAACAGGAUUAGAUACCCUGGUAGUCCACACCGUAAACGAUGAAUGCCAGUCGUCGGGUAGCAUGCUAUUCGGUGACACACCUAACGGAUUAAGCAUUCCGCCUGGGGAGUACGGUCGCAAGAUUAAAACUC